Molecule: ribosomal RNA, 68 nt
Filed under: Staphylococcus pettenkoferi
Lineage: Bacteria; Bacillati; Bacillota; Bacilli; Caryophanales; Staphylococcaceae
Description: partial 16S ribosomal RNA
Rfam family: Bacterial small subunit ribosomal RNA
Source: RNAcentral
UUAAUGGAGAGUCUGAUCCUGGUUCAGGAUAAACGCUGGCGCCGUGCCUAAUACAUGCAAGUCGACCG